AGCCAUGCCGCGUGAGUGAUGAAGGCCUUAGGGUUGUAAAGCUCUUUCACCGAUGAAGAUAAUGACGGUAGUCGGAGAAGAAGCCCCGGCUAACUUCGUGCCAGCAGCCGCGGUAAUACGAAGGGGGCUAGCGUUGUUCGGAAUUACUGGGCGUAAAGCGCACGUAGGCGGAUAUUUAAGU
This 181-nucleotide ribosomal RNA is filed under the name uncultured soil bacterium. RNAcentral describes it as "partial 16S ribosomal RNA". It matches the Rfam family "Bacterial small subunit ribosomal RNA", at positions 390 to 588 of the family's 1533-position model. The record is from RNAcentral.